RNA transcript from Arabidopsis lyrata subsp. lyrata, 2535 nucleotides. It is a transcript of the gene named nuclear transcription factor Y subunit B-9, with no coding region annotated. NCBI's taxonomy places the organism in Eukaryota, Viridiplantae, Streptophyta, Magnoliopsida, Brassicales, Brassicaceae. The transcript is spliced from 7 exons. The record is from RefSeq and is a predicted model, not a curated record.
CUUUGGUAAUUUGUGAAAAGAACAACCAAUGAGAGAAGAGCAGUUUGACUGGCCACAUAGCCAAUGAAAUUAGCCAAUGGGAAAGAGAUAUAGAGACCUCGUAAGAACCGCCUCCUUUGCCAUUUGUAUCAUCUCUCUAUAAAACCACUCAACCAUCAACCUCUCUUUGCAUGCAACAAAUCACUCAAAUAAUUAUUUUAUAAAGACCAAAAAAAAAAGACGGCAGAGAAACAAUGGAACGUGGAGCUCCCUUCUAUCACCAUCAGCUACCCAAAUCCAUCUCUGAAACGCGAUGGAGAAAACGAUUUCUUCUCCUCCGCCGAUCUCCUGCCUCCGCUCCCUCCGUUUCUUCUCUGGCUUCAUCUCUUCGAUUCUAUUUCACCUCUCCGUUUCUUCUCCGGCUUCAUCUCCUCGAUUCUAUUUCACAUUUCCUCGGGCGAUUUUCGAUUUCUCCUCACCUCCAUGGUCUAACGAGCUUGGAUUUGUGCUUCUCUCCUCUCCUCCGCUCCUCCUGCUGUUAAGGCCAGUAAUAAGCCUUUGAAAGGUAAGAGGGAGCCUGAAGAUGAUGUUGAUACUAAAGUGAGUCUUAAGAAGCAGAAGGAAGACGUGAUUGCUGCUGUACAAAAGUAAAAAGCUGUGAAGAAGGUGACUAAGAAGGUUGAGAGCUCUGAUUCAUCAGAUUCUGAAUCUGAGGAAGAUGAGAAGGCUAAGAAAGUUCCAGCCAAGAAGGCUGCAACCAAGAAGCAUGCUGCGGCUGCUUCUAAAAAGGCCAAGGUCUGAGAGUUCGUCUGAAGAUGAUUCAUCCUCUGAUGAGGACUCAGAUGAUGAUUCUGAGGAUGAGAAGGCUGCUGCUACCAAGGCUGCAAGCAGUUCAGAUUCAUUUGAUGAAGAUUCUGAUGAGGAAAGUGAAGAUACUACUGAAUGUCUUCAUGGUGCAAUUGCUGUGAAGAAGAUGCGUAGGUGAAAGGUACACUCCUAAAUUGCUUUAAUUGUUAAUAGAGAUUAGAUAGAUGUGGUUGAGAAUGUAGUUGUCUUUAAAUGAAUCAAUGAAUACAGAAAAAGUAGAUAGUGAAUUUAUUGUCAUCUCUUUAACAAUAGCUUCUCUGAAGUUUAAUGUAUUUGUGGCGUUGGUGAUGAGAUGGAGUGAAUUUAAACAGAAAAAAAAAAAAUUAAAUGCAACUGAACUUAAACUUAAAGUUCAAUAAAAUGGUGAUGAGACAUUAGCCAUCUAAAUUAAAGUUAUGUUGAUGGCUAGUGUCUCAGUGACUUGAAUUAGUAUUGUGUUUGUUAUUUAUUGAGGCUUUUCCUUUAUAAUGUCGACAAUGAGAACUAAACAAACCACUUAAACUCUUCUAAAACACAAAAUGGCUCCAACUUAAACUUUUCCGCCUCUCAAUCCUUUACCAAUCUCUUGUUUAGCCAAGAAGAUAAUCCAACGCCUCCCAGUCCUUCACAGCCUCCUUUUUCUGAAUCCCAAACACCCACAUCCUUAGCUAGGGCGUCUAGAGUGAGAUGGAGUGUUCCUGAAGAGAAGGCACUUGCAAGUGCCUGGCUCAACACAUCCAAAGACUCUGUUGUGGGGAAUGAGCAGAGAUCAGCUGCCUUUUGGGAUAGGGUUGCAGCAUAUUAUGCUGCAUGUCCUGCUGUCUCUAAGCUCACCAUCCGAGAGCCAAAUACUUGUAAGCAGAAAUGGCAAAAAAUGAAUGAGCUUGUCAUGAAGUUUGCAGGCUGUUAUGAGUUUGCCUCUCGGACUCCUCGCAGUGGAGAGAAUGAAGAUGACAUUAUCGUGCUGGCCUACAAGCUUUACCAUCAAGAUCAAAAAAACAAAUUCAGUCUUGAGCAUGUUUGGAGAAUCCUCAAGACUGAUCAGAAAUGGUGCAAUUGGUGUGAGACCAAACUUCCUGCCAAGAAGAAAGCUAAACUUUCAUCUGUAGAAGAAGAGACUCUUCAAAGGCCUAUAGGUGUGAAGGCAGCCAAGGCUUUAGCCAAGUCCAAAGGUAAGGGAAAGAUUGAAGGAGAAGCUGAAGCUAGUUCUGCUGCUGAACUUCAGCUUAUGUGGGAAGUGAAAGAGAAGGAUUUGGCUGCCAAAGAGAGACUUUCCAAGCAGAAGCUACUUGACAGCCUUCUUGGAAGGUCUGAUGGAUUGAGUGAGUUGGAAAUUCAACUUAAGAACUCUCUUAUCCAAGAGUAUCUGUCUGGAAGCAAGGUGUUUGUUUCUGAGAAUGAUUAUUCUGGUCUUUAGGACCUCCUCUUGGAAGCUAGUGAUGACUUUAUGCGGAUGUACUUUGUUUUUUGCUUUAUUCGGAUGUACCUGCCAAGAACAGAGCUACUAUUUGUUUGUUUUUAGUAGCACAUGGCAUAUGGUCUAUAUGUUUUUGUGGUCAGAAGCCACUUGUUUUUACUUUCUAUGGUAUUUGUCUUAGUAGCACAAUGUAUUGUGGAGAAACCACUUGUUGUUUUGUUUUAGUAGCACAAUGUAUUGUCGACAAUGUAUUAUUGGUACAAUUCUCUUAUAUAAAUGUCUUUGUCUUCUCA